Molecule: small RNA, 924 nt
Filed under: Drosophila pseudoobscura pseudoobscura
Lineage: Eukaryota; Metazoa; Arthropoda; Insecta; Diptera; Drosophilidae
Description: GA28832
Source: RNAcentral
CGCUUUUGAUCAGAACCUGUCUCCUAUAUGCAUAUCUAUCAGAAUUAAAUAGGUGGUCAAAAACUGUCGACAAACUAAUGUAUGGGCCUGGUCGUAAAGUGCAGUCUAAAUUUCCAUUGUAGGGACCGUACAACUCUCGUCCUUGCCAGUACGUGUGCGUGAUCCAGGCAAUGUCAAGUACGCCCACCGCUUACUAUUGCUAAUAUUCACCCUUAACAUCCGCUAGCCCAGUCCGUAACAAUGCAAGAUAACUGCCACCAUUAACAGUCUACGAUUUCAGUCUGUAAGCAGAAUUAAAUUGAGUGCAUUCAACAACAACACAACAGAAAACGAAACGAAACGAAACCAAAACAAAGAUACUCCGAAAAUGAGGCGCACUCUUUGGCACAUGCUCACGGCCCAGCUCCUGCUCCUGGUACUCUGUUCGCUGCUCUCUCUCUGCUCCGGCGGCAAUAUGCAUCCUUUGAAAGUGGGCAAAAACUAUGCGUCGCUGCACAACCAGCCCAAGGACUUUCGCUCUUUAGUGAUGGAUAUUAGCAAGUUUGUUCUCACUAUUGUGAGCAGAACGCGUUGAGUCACGUUUUUUUUUGUUUAUUGUUAAUUUUUUUUGAGCACGUAUUCCUUAUUUAUAGAAAGCAAAAGCUUUUUCCUCCAUCUAAUCUGUCCAAAGAUCUGACUAGUACCAUAUCUAUUACUAAGCUGGCGUCGAGAUUUGAAUUCCAAUCUGAGUCCUGCCCCCCAUUCAAUUCAGAGUUCCAAAAUUCUCCAUUAAAGACCGACAGAAAGGCCAGCGACCAGCAGAUCAGUGCAGAGACCGACAAUCAUUGCCAAAGCAACGCAAAGCCUGGCCUCGAACUGAAUUUACAAUAAAAAUUCUUAAUUCUUGGUACAAAAAUUUCUGUAUUUAGCUGAUGAAAAUAAUUU